AAGAUUACAAGUCAACAAGUCAACCAUAUUUUUUGGGUAUUUUUGAAUUAAAAAUAAAUGCAAAAUAAAAUAAACAAAAUAUGGUCCAACAUCAAAUUUAAUUCAAAUCAACUUCAACAAGUCCAAUUAAAUUCUCAUAGGUCUAACAUGGUCAAACAAGCUGUGACAAAUUUUCUCAAUAAUUUUGGAAAUCAAAAACUAUUUAAAAAAACAAUU
RNAcentral lists this long non-coding RNA (216 nucleotides) under Lathyrus oleraceus (garden pea). Its description in RNAcentral is "Pisum sativum (pea) long non-coding RNA (PSAT_LNC017439)". Lineage: Eukaryota; Viridiplantae; Streptophyta; Magnoliopsida; Fabales; Fabaceae. The record is from RNAcentral.